Molecule: non-coding RNA, 219 nt
Organism: Cinara cedri
Lineage: Eukaryota; Metazoa; Arthropoda; Insecta; Hemiptera; Aphididae
Source: the annotation of a GenBank genome assembly
AACCCAAUAGACGAAAUGUAAUAAAAAUUAAUUUAUAAAUCUAUAUAGGUAAUAAUGGCUAAAUCAAACAAGGCUAUAAUACCAAAACGUGUCCCGGCGAAAAUAUUCAAGUGAGUAAUAACUACAGAUAAACAACGCAGAAACACAUACACAGAAUCAUUUAAUUACCUACCCACCACAGUACCUGCCAUGCCCAGUCUGAUAAUAUUAUGUAUCACU